This 76-nucleotide transfer RNA is filed under the name Gammaproteobacteria bacterium. Its description in RNAcentral is "tRNA-Lys". It matches the Rfam family "tRNA". Rfam says of the family: Transfer RNA (tRNA) molecules are approximately 80 nucleotides in length. Their secondary structure includes four short double-helical elements and three loops (D, anti-codon, and T loops). Further hydrogen bonds mediate the characteristic L-shaped molecular structure. tRNAs have two regions of fundamental functional importance: the anti-codon, which is responsible for specific mRNA codon recognition, and the 3' end, to which the tRNAs corresponding amino acid is attached (by aminoacyl-tRNA synthetases). tRNAs cope with the degeneracy of the genetic code in two manners: having more than one tRNA (with a specific anti-codon) for a particular amino acid; and 'wobble' base-pairing, i.e. permitting non-standard base-pairing at the 3rd anti-codon position. The record is from RNAcentral. Lineage: Bacteria; Pseudomonadati; Pseudomonadota; Gammaproteobacteria.
GGGCCGUUAGCUCAGUUGGUAGAGCAUCUGACUUUUAAUUAGGUGGUCGAAGGUUCGAAUCCUUCACGGCCCACCA